ACGCUCGACACCUACGGGUGGCAGCAGUGGGGAAUAUUGCACAAUGGGGGAAACCCUGAUGCAGCGACGCCGCGUGAGCGAAGAAGUAUUUCGGUAUGUAAAGCUCUAUCAGCAGGGAAGAAACUGACGGUACCUGACUAAGAAGCACCGGCUAAAUACGUGCCAGCAGCCGACGGUAAUCUGAGCGGGCUGGCAAGGC
This 199-nucleotide ribosomal RNA is filed under the name uncultured bacterium. Its description in RNAcentral is "partial 16S ribosomal RNA". It matches the Rfam family "Bacterial small subunit ribosomal RNA", at positions 328 to 539 of the family's 1533-position model. The record is from RNAcentral.